RNAcentral lists this unclassified non-coding RNA (361 nucleotides) under soil metagenome. Its description in RNAcentral is "partial contains 5.8S ribosomal RNA, internal transcribed spacer 2, and large subunit ribosomal RNA". The stretch from base 1 to 119 matches the Rfam family "5.8S ribosomal RNA", at positions 35 to 154 of the family's 154-position model. The record is from RNAcentral.
GAUGAAGACGUAGCGAAAUGCGAUAAGUAAUGUGAAUUGCAGAAUUCUGUGAAUCAUCGAAUCUUUGAACGCACCUUGCGCUCCUUGGUAUUCCGAGGAGCAUGCCUGUUUGAGUGUCAUUAAUAUAUCAACCUUCUCUUUUUUGAGUUGUUUGGAUGUGGGGGUUUGCUGGCCUCUUAAAUGAUUCAGCUCCCCUGAAAUGCAUUAGCAGAACAACCUGUUCAUUAGCGUGAUAAUUAUCUAUGCUAUUGAAUGUGAGGGCAGUUCAGCUUUCUAACCGUCCUUGGACAAUUCAUCAUUAAUGUGACCUCAAAUCAGGUAGGACUACCCGCUGAACUUAAGCAUAUCAAUAAGCGGAGGA